This 864-nucleotide long non-coding RNA is filed under the name Phascolarctos cinereus (koala). RNAcentral describes it as "lncRNA (ENSPCIG00000029822.2)". Lineage: Eukaryota; Metazoa; Chordata; Mammalia; Diprotodontia; Phascolarctidae. The record is from RNAcentral.
CAGCACUUCAGAAGGGCUCCACUACUCCCCUAUGGCUUGACUCCCAGGAAAAUAUGUACUAGAUGAAGUAAAUAAAGCCAAGAAAAAGAUUAGUGCACUCUAGUAAUUCUCAUGGCAGAUGCACUUUAAGAUGAUUGAAAACAAUCAGGAGGAAAGAUUUUAGAACUCUAAGCAAUGCUACUAGUUGGCCUCCCAAUGCUAUGUAAUUUUCCUCUUAUUAUGCUGAUUAAAGAAGAUUACCUUUAAUAAUAUAAAAUUUUUUCUUUUUCUUUUUUUGGUUCAACUGAUUUGUAUUUUAAGUUUGUCUACAGCAAUACAAGAAAGAAAAUAUCUGUACCUGUACUCAUAAAGAAGGCUUUACAGAAACUACCCCAGAAACAUGUGUAAGGUUCCCAGAAUGAAUCUUCUUGAAGGAGACAGUCAUGCAGAUGUGCAAUAAAUGUCUUCGUUAAGUUUGAAAGGCUAUUCCAAGAAUAAACGAGGCAGCGUCUAGUGCUGGAGAAGCAGUGAAUAUAGAACAAGACAGGAGAAAGUGCAUUUUCCAAGCCUUUUUCACAAAAGUUUUCCUUCAGUCUCCUCAGCUGGUGUCAGGCACAGAAGGCUGAAGAUUAGCUAUUGAACCUCUUCUCCACCAUUUUCUCCUUCCCUGGGUAUGAACUACACCAGAUAAAAAGGGGAUGAACCACUGCAGAUGAUGUGAGUAAGGAGGAGAGAAAGACUGAAGAAUUACAAGACAGAAACAGAAGGGCUCCAUUGAAACUACAGAGGUCCAAAGAAAGAACAGACAUUGUGGUACAAUUUGGAUAUAUUUCCAAGAAGAACUGUGUAAGUCUUGUAAUAGUUGUUGUUCAGUAAUUUUUCUGU